CCUACGGGAGGCAGCAGUGGGGGAUAUUGCACAAUGGGGGAAACCCUGAUGCAGCGACGCCGCGUGGGGGAAGAAGUAUUUCGGUAUGUAAAGCCCUAUCAGCAGGGAAGAAGAAAUGACGGUACCUGAGUAAGAAGCACCGGCUAAAUACGGGCGAGCAGCCGCGGUAAUACGUAUGGUGCAAGCGUUAUCCGGAUUUACUGGGUGUAAAGGGAGCGCAGGGGGGACGGCACGCCUGGUGUGAAAGUCCGCGGCCCAACCGCGGGACUGCAUUUGGAACUACCGGGCUUGAGUGCCGGAGAGGUAGGCGGAAUUCCUAGUGUAGCGGUGAAAUGCGUAGAUAUUAGGAGGAACACCAGUGGCGAAGGCGGCCUACUGGACGGUGACUGACGCUGAGGCUCGAAAGCGUGGGGAGCAAACAGGAUUAGAUACCCGGGUAGUC
This 442-nucleotide ribosomal RNA is filed under the name uncultured bacterium. RNAcentral's name for it is "partial 16S ribosomal RNA". It matches the Rfam family "Bacterial small subunit ribosomal RNA", at positions 338 to 795 of the family's 1533-position model. The record is from RNAcentral.